AGCAGCCGCGGUAAUUCCAGCUCCAAUAGCGUAUAUUAAAGUUGUUGCAGUUAAAAAGCUCGUAGUUGAAUUUCGGGAUCAAUAUAUCGGUCGUGCCUUGGUACGUACUGGUAUCAUUGGUUUCUCCUUUCUGACGAACCAUGAUGUCAUUAAUUUGGUGUUAUGGGAAGUUAGGACUGUUACUUUGAAAAAUUAGAGUGUUCAAAGCAAGCUCACGCUUGAAUACAUUAGCAUGGAAUAAUGAAAUAGGACGUUUGAUUCUAUUUUGUUGGUUUCUAGGAUCGACGUAAUGAUUAAUAGGGAUAGUUGGGGGCAUUAGUAUUCAAUUGUCAGAGGUGAAAUUCUUGGAUUUAUUGAAGACUAACUACUGCGAAAGCAUUUGCCAAGGAUGUUUUCAUUAAUCAAGAACGAAAGUUAGGGGAUCGAAGACGAUCAGAUACCGUCGUAGUC
This 450-nucleotide ribosomal RNA is filed under the name uncultured Glomus. RNAcentral describes it as "SSU rRNA". It matches the Rfam family "Eukaryotic small subunit ribosomal RNA", at positions 569 to 1025 of the family's 1831-position model. Lineage: Eukaryota; Fungi; Glomeromycota; Glomeromycetes; Glomerales; Glomeraceae. The record is from RNAcentral.